This 1106-nucleotide ribosomal RNA is filed under the name Swartschewskia khanaevi. RNAcentral's name for it is "small subunit ribosomal RNA". The record is from RNAcentral. Lineage: Eukaryota; Metazoa; Porifera; Demospongiae; Spongillida; Lubomirskiidae.
AUUCCUUUGAUUUUGGGGAAGAUAUAAAGCGAGCGGCACUUAUAAUACAUGCUAAGGGAACGGAAAAUAUGGGAUCUCAUGUAAGUACGUCCUAUACAGGUGAGUAAUGUUCUGGAACUAACCAAUUGGAUGGGAAUAGAAUUCCCAUAAUAAAUCUGAUCCCCCGGCGGCAUCUCCGAUGCCGCUGGGGGGUCAUGAUAUGGAACCUGUUGGAAUCUAGUCGAUAGGGAUAUAGGACCGACAUAGUCGGAUGAAUAUUAGAUCACAGCAGCCAGGGGCGGCCGCCCCCGGCGAAUGUGGUCGACGAAAACUCAAGAAAAUCCCGCCUGAAGAGUACGAUCGCAAGAUUAAAAUUCAAAAAAUUUGGCGGUUCACUAAACCAAUUAGAGGAGCGUGUAGUUUAAUUCGAUAAUCCGCGAUUAACCUUACCAAAACUUGAAUAAUUCAAAAUAGGGAUAUCUUCGGAUAUCCCGAUAUAGGACCGACGUGGAUAUCCGCGCCACCUAAGUGGCCUAGACUUAGAUAUCCACGUCGGUCCCAUUAACGGUUAUAGAUGACUAUUAAUUACAGGUAUUGCAUGGCCGUCGUCAGUUCGUGUUGUGAAAGAAAUAGAACGAACUUAACCCUUAAUCGUUAUUAUAGAACGGCCCCACGGGGUCCUUUUACGAUAUUAAGGAUGACGUCAGGUCCUUAUGAUCCUAAUGUUUUGGGCUACAUAUGCGCUACAAUUUUUUAUACAAAGAGAAACUUAAAUUGAAAGAGUAAACUCUAAAGUAAAAAUUCGGAUYGCCCCUUGAAAUUGGGGCCUGAAGUUGGAUUUAAUAGUAAUCGGAAAGUAGAGCGUUCUGGUGAAUACGGCUCUAGUGUUCGUACAAAUCGCCCGUCACCUCCACCAAGUAAAUAAUCCCAAAGUGUCAAGCUAGAAUUAAAGUAAUGGGGCUAAAUAUUUAAUAUCGCUAAAGCCAGCGGCGUCUUACGACGUGCCACCUAAGUGGCCUAGACUUAGAUAUCUUUAAUUCCCUAGACAGGCUUGAUAUGACGGAAAGUUUAUGAGGUUGAGGAAGUCGUAACAUAGCGAGGGUAUUGGAAAAUGUCCUCGGAUUAAU